Molecule: ribosomal RNA, 254 nt
Filed under: uncultured bacterium
Lineage: Bacteria
Description: partial 16S ribosomal RNA
Rfam family: Bacterial small subunit ribosomal RNA
Source: RNAcentral
CACGUAGGCACCAAGCGUUGUCCGGAUUUAUUGGGCGUAAAGAGCUCGUAGGCGGUUCAGUAAGUCGGGUGUGAAAACUCUGGGCUCAACCCGGAGACGCCACCCGAUACUGCUGUGACUUGAGUUCGGUAGGGGAGUGGGGAAUUUCUAGUGUAGCGGUGAAAUGCGUAGAUAUCUGGAGGAACACCGGUGGCGAAGGCGGCAUCCUGGACCAACACUGACACUGAGGAGCGAAAGCCAGGGGAGCAAACGGG